UACAGAGGUCCCGAGCGUUGCUCGGAUUCAUUGGGCGUAAAGGGUGUGUAGGAGGCUAGGUAAGUCAGGUGUGAAAUCUCUCCGCUUAACGGGGAAAUGGCAUUUGAUACUGCUUGGCUAGAGGAUCGGAGGGGGCAACGGAAUUCUUGGUGUAGCAGUGAAAUGCGUAGAUAUCAAGAGGAACACCGGUGGCGUAGGCGGUUGCCUGGAAGAUUCCUGACUCUGAAACACGAAAGCCAGGGGAGCAAACGGG
Molecule: ribosomal RNA, 253 nt
Filed under: uncultured bacterium
Lineage: Bacteria
Description: partial 16S ribosomal RNA
Rfam family: Bacterial small subunit ribosomal RNA
Source: RNAcentral